Molecule: non-coding RNA, 216 nt
Filed under: Thiocapsa rosea
Lineage: Bacteria; Pseudomonadati; Pseudomonadota; Gammaproteobacteria; Chromatiales; Chromatiaceae
Source: RNAcentral
AAAGUCCCGGACCGGUAAGGGCUAGCGACCCACCGGAAUCGAGUGUUGCGUGGACCGGGAGCGAUCCCGGCUGCGAAGCGUACACAGAGGGCGUGUAGGCCGUGUGAUUGAGCCUCGAAAGAUUCAGAUGCGGAGCCGACGCUGUACGGAUGGCGGAAGGCAACAUCAGCUGCAUCGUAUCGCUUGAUGCAGGUGAUCCGCCGGGGUCGGUGAGCA